GGGGGGGGGGGGGGGCGGGGGGGGCGGGGGGGGGGGGGGCGGGGGGGGGGGUGUCGGGUGGCGGGCGGGUGAGUAACGCGUGAGCGGCUGCCCUUGGGGGGGGGACAACACCUGGCAACGGUUGCUGCUGCCCGGUCGUCUUGGGAGCACCCGGAGGAAUCCGCCCGAGGAGGGGCGUGCGUCUGAUUAGCUCGUUGGGGAGGUACUAGCUGACCAAUGCGAUGCUCAGUAGCUGGUCCGAGAGGAUGAUCAGCCACACUGGGACUGAGACACGGCCCAGACGCCGACGGGAGGCAGCAGUGGGGAAUUUUCCGCAAUGGGCGAAAGCCUGACGGAGCAAUGCCGCGUGGAGGUAGAAGGCCCACGGGUCGUGAACUUCUUUUCUCGGAGAAGAAACAAUGACGGUAGCUGAGGAAUAAGCAUCGGCUAACUCGGUG
RNAcentral lists this ribosomal RNA (437 nucleotides) under uncultured bacterium. RNAcentral describes it as "partial 16S ribosomal RNA". The stretch from base 46 to 437 matches the Rfam family "Bacterial small subunit ribosomal RNA", at positions 39 to 507 of the family's 1533-position model. The record is from RNAcentral.